CAUGCCUUGCGAAGAUGAUGAGUCUGAGAGCGUCUACCUCAACGUAUACGAAUUGCUCGUAUUUGACGCUGUCAACAAGUACCUCCUCGUGCCUCUGGGUCUAGGCGCCUAUCACACCGGCGUCGAAGUCUACGGAGAGGAGUUCAGCUUCGGCUAUCAGGAAGGACGGGGCUCCGGGACCUUCUCGAUCACUCCCGGCACGGCGCCUCAAUGUAGAUUUCGCGAGUCGAUCUUGAUCGGAAAAACCCACUUCAGCAAACCCCAGGUCAGGCGCAUUCUGGAAGAACUGAGCGACGAAUACGUCGGGACUUACGAUUUGGUCAACAGGAACUGCAACGUAUUCACGGACGCUCUUUGCAAAAUAUUAACGGGAAAUGGCAUACCAAAUUACAUAAACCGGUUGUCCAACUUCGCAUCCACGUUCCGUCAACUCUUGCCGAAGACGCGCAUAGGGCCGUCUAUACAAUCGAAAGACAUGAUAAAAUCAUCAGAGACGAACAAAGAUGCGCAGUAAAAUCGCGUGAAGAGACCUGUUUCCAAGGCACAUUUGUCUACUCUUCUCUUCGAACGACGCAUCGCCACCAGAGGUCCGACAAGUCUCCAGAGCGUGACAUAUGAAUUGCGACCGGAGUGCGUCCACACCGCGCGCAGAAAAUCAGACGCUUCUUCCGUGCUUUUUGGUGGCGAACAAGCUUCCCGAAGGGGGAGCACCUUGUGUACAUAUAAUAGCCUUUCAGAGAAAAUUAUACAAUCUCGUAAUAAAAUAAGGCCAUUCCGCACCAACGAA
Molecule: long non-coding RNA, 787 nt
Organism: Schistocerca gregaria
Lineage: Eukaryota; Metazoa; Arthropoda; Insecta; Orthoptera; Acrididae
Exons: 5
Source: RefSeq, a predicted model, not a curated record